UCCGCCGCGUCCCGCGCAACCGGAAGUGGCCGGACCCGAGGCGGAGGGACCUGGCGGAGCGGAAGUCACUCCGUGAGGCAGUGGCGACGGCGGCGGCGAGAGGAUGAACAACAAGUUCGACGCAUUGAAAGACGAUGACAGUGGGGACCAUGAUCAGAAUGAAGAAAACAGCACACAGAAAGAUGGUGAGAAGGAAAAAACAGAACGAGACAAGAGUCAGAGCAGCAGCAAGAGGAAGGCUGUUGUCCCUGGGCCAGCAGAGCACCCCCUGCAGUAUAACUACACUUUCUGGUACUCCAGGAGAACCCCCGGUCGUCCCACUAGCUCACAGAGCUACGAACAGAAUAUCAAACAGAUUGGCACCUUUGCCUCUGUGGAGCAGUUCUGGAGGUUUUAUAGCCACAUGGUACGUCCCGGGGACCUGACAGGCCACAGUGACUUCCAUCUCUUCAAAGAAGGAAUUAAACCCAUGUGGGAGGACGAUGCAAAUAAAAACGGUGGCAAGUGGAUCAUUCGGCUGCGGAAGGGCUUGGCGUCCCGUUGCUGGGAGAACCUCAUCCUGGCCAUGCUGGGGGAACAGUUCAUGGUUGGGGAGGAGAUCUGUGGGGCCGUGGUCUCGGUCCGGUUUCAGGAGGACAUUAUUUCCAUUUGGAACAAGACUGCCAGCGACCAGGCCACCACAGCCCGCAUCCGGGACACCCUGCGGCGCGUGCUUAACCUACCUCCCAACACCAUUAUGGAGUACAAAACCCAUACCGACAGCAUCAACAUUUGCCAAAGAAUCGCCUUCUCUGACCCUUUCCUUCCACUGUGGUGUUACGUGUGUUGACUUUGACUUCAGCCAACACAGCUGGUCCAGGGGCUGAGCUUGAUGGCACCUUCCAGAGUUAGCAGUUGGUCAGAAGGCACCAGACUGACCUGGAGACACUCUGGUCCUUGCCGCAUCUGAGCAGAAGCCGGGACUGUUCUCCUUUGUGCUCCUCCUUGCGGCUCUCCCGCAGGUGUGGCUUUGAGCCGAGGAACAGCAUCUGCUGAGACUUGGAAACUCAAGGGAAGUGAAGAAAGAGCCGACAGUUGUUCUGUCUGGAGAUUAGGGCCCCUGGAAGUGGCGAGGGGAAUUUUUAGCAGUGGCUUUGGUAUCUCAGUCAGUGAACCGCCACCUGCUGGGUUUCAGUCCAGUGUCCUUUUUCACCUGUCUGGGUUUCCAGCCUUCCCCUCGUCGCACCGCUUGUGGCCUUUCCCUGCCACGCUCCUCGGUGAGCUGAGAGGCUAACACUGCGCGUGGGGCCUGAUGAGCUGCUUUGCUGCAGAGACGCCACCUGCUGCCUCGUACCCAGCAGUUCUUGCCAGCAGUCAGCUCCUUAAGGGUGCGCGGGUCCCCUUGCGCAAGGGGAGCUUGUUAAUCCAGGUGUCAGCUCCGGGCGUGGCUCCUCCUCCUGAGCUCGGUUGUAGUUGUGGCCUCAGAGAUGUGGGUCCCGCAGGCACCAAGUGGCUCACUGUGUCCUCUGCUUCGAGGACCAUCUCCUCCCACAGCCAGACCUGCAACCCCGAAUCUUGGGACCCCAGGAUAAAACGUGGGGCUCAGAGCCGUAGAAUGCAGCAGUUGACUUUUGAGAGGAAACUCCUCUUUGGAAUCAUCUGUUGAGCCCCUUAGUUCAUCUGGCCUGGAAUGGGAGAGGGAAGACAGGGCUGCCACGGGCCACGGUGUUGGGAGGACUGCAGAGAGAGCUGAGGGUAGGUGACUUCCCUUCAUUCAUUCAUUCUAGAGGAGAAAGGGGCCCACUCGUGGCGACUUCGCCCUGUUAACUGUCAUUGUAUUUAAACAUUGAACUUCGUCUUCUCCGAGGCUGAAUCACAGCCGGGAGGCCCCGGGUCAAACCAGCACAACUGCUGGCCUGGCUUCGAGUUUAUGCUGAUCCCCCCCACCACCCCCACCCCCGGCCGACGUUCAAGGCGGAGCCCGGACUAGCAGGAGGCCAGAGUUCGCCCGGGUGUAUGAGGGCCAGACGAGUGCAAGGCUGGGCGCCAGGCUUUGGGACAGGGUGGGCACGAGUACAGAGUUACAGACAUGAGACCUCUGCUCUCAGAAUGUGCUUUCUGGUAAGUGGGCUGGUAAAAAAGUGGUCUUUAGAGAGCUCGGUGUUACUCUGUCAUUUGAAUCUGUUUAGAAUUCCCUGUAGGCUGUAUUAACCUCAGGGUGAUUUAAAGCAUUUCUUUUUAAAGAAACCCUGUUUACAUGACAGUUUGAAUAUUCAACUUGUUCUUUGCCUUUGAGACAAGUUUCAAUACUUAACCUGCUCGGGAUGCCAGAGGAAAAUAGCCAGAAGGCCCCUAGUCUUGGGCGGUUGAUGUGCCUUUUAGUCAAGCACUGACCUCUGAGAACAGGCGAUUGUACCAGUGACUGUGGAUCCAUGCGAGCUACUCUCUGCCCAGAUUCUUCAUGUUGACGUUUUACGCAUGAAGAGGAUACUGCCGAGGAAACAGGAGGGCAGUUGAACACUAGAGUGGAUUAGAGGAGACCUCUGACGUGCAUAUGUCUGCAGGUUCUUGACACAGAGAACGUCCCUGUUUGGACUAGUGCAGGCUUUGCAGUAGAUGGAAGGAUUAAGGAGGUGAAGCUUCAACACAGCCAUGUAAUUUCUUGUUGACACCUCCAUUGUUCAAGUAGGAUUUAAAUGCCACUGUUAGAACCAGAGGGGGGACCCGCGUCGUGGCCCAGGCAUCCGCUUUUGCUUUCCUCUUACCUUCAUUUGGAGUCAAGAGUGAAGUGGCCUUCUGACACCACUGACGGAUUCUCAAAGUUCUCCACGCUACCGUCUUUCCAGAAAGAGCUGUGAAGCAGGUGUCUUUCUGUGGAAACCGAGUUUGUGGCGAAGAUAGCACCCCUGUGGGGUGCUCUUACGUUUUCCUUCAGCUCACUUAGCAUGUGUGUAUUGGGGAUGCUCUGAAGAAGCUAUUAACUGCAAAUCAGCCUCUUGUUCUGAGAGAUAGCGCCCUUCACUUAUAAAUGCUGCUGUUCAGAAGAGGGAUAGAUGAACGCCAGUGGUGUGCCUCUUGCCUGGAAGAAUGAAUUUGUUGUGCCAGGUCUCUGAUCUCUUGCUAUUUAAAAAAAGAAAGGAAGAAUGAAAAGCUCUCUGUAGAAGACUUGGUGAAUGAAGUAUAUUUUAGUGGCUAUCAUUUUAAACCUGUAGUGAGUUAAUUUAACAUGUUAAACCCAGUAUGUUGUCACCAUGGGUAUUUUGCCAUUUUAAAGCCAAAAUGGAAUAGUUGGUAAUCAAAAAUUUUAGAUUUAGAAGCACGAAAUUACCCAUUUUACAUACAAGUCCCAGGAAAGUUACCUGACACUUUGUCCCUGGUGGAGCUGAAAGGUGGCUAGAGCAAAAAGGUAGGACAUCAGCUCCUCUGAGAAAACACGAGGUGGGUCCGGGCUUCUGGGUACACAGGGAAUCUAGCAGGCUGCUGUUUUCUUGGCCAGGAGUCACCGCCGGCCUGCUUUUUUGUGGCGCAUCGACUCCAAAAGCCCCCCCCCCCAGUCACAUUCUUAUCCCUUCCUAACUCCAGUUUCUAAAUUAAUACACAUUAAAGUUGUGAGGAGCAUUGGUCCCUGGAAAUUUCAAACCGCUGUGACCCAUACAACUUAAGUUUUAAGAUAAUAGUCACUUGGGUAUUAUCGGAAAUGGAACCUGAUAUGAAUUUGGAGUCUGAGUUCCGAAGAGUCAGAAGGGAAAGCGGAUAAAGUGGUAUGAUUUCCUCACGGCGUCUUUGGACAUUGUAAUGCUGUCGGGUACCUGCCUUUACCCUCCGGGUGAAGCCUGAAGAGGAGAGAAGGUUUCUACCGCCUGUCCUCACGUCCCCAAGGCAGAAAGCAGAAGGCACUGCUGCCCUUCGCCUCGGUGAAUUGGAGGUGUCUCCCUUGGUGGGUGAGCUCAGCUCUGACCUUGUGGCCUGGUUGAGGGGAUAGAUAGACUUGCAAGUCCUCGAAGGAUGGUGAGGGCCAGACUUUGCCAGAGGAAGUGCCAACUGCCCUUGGAAGGUGCCAGCCACCCGCUAAGCUGAAAGGACAGUCUAGGUGGGAAACGUCACUGCCGUGCAUCCAGGGCCUGGGAGGAGUUUCAUGGCCUGGUGAACAGCAGCGGCCGCUGAUCGGACGCUCCCCCUCUGUCUCUCCCACUCAGGGGACAAUUCAAGCUUUCGAAAUACAAAGAUCGCGUUGUGAAAGUACACCAGCUGGCAGUAACCCUUUUCUGUGUGUGUGUGUCUGUCCAAAGCGGACGGGAGGUCUCCAGCUGCUCCUUCUGUCUGCUCACUGAAGGGACGUCCCUGAGCCACGUGCUCCCCUUUUGCACUCACUCCUGGAGGACGGGUUCCGCUAGACACCCUCCAGCAUCGCUGACUUUAUAAAGCGGAGAAAACGGAAAACGUGACUUUAUAAUAGACAAACUUUUUUUAAGAGGGUUCCGUGGGGGGCGGGUCAGCCUUUCAUUUUGCUGUGUGCUGUCCAGGUGCCUCUCGGGCAUUCUGCCGUGCUCUCCUCUGCUGUACGAAGGGCAUCGUGACCACGUGUACAAGCCAGAGCCGUGGGCUGAGAGUGACCAGUAUUAUGAAUGUCUGUGCCUCCAGGAAGAGCUUCGUGUUGGAGAGUCCCGGAAUAGCUAUAAAUGCUCUCUUCUAGAUCUGCCGUUCAGUUAUUGGGACAUUUUGUUUAUUUCACCCCCUCUUCCCCCGAGCCCACCACUUUCUGAAAUUGUGUCACCGACGGUGUAUAGGCUCCUGCCUUAUGCCCUCCAGCUCUCCCUCUGGUGGGACACUUUUGAGGCACUGCUGCACUUAGAAUUUUAGUCCAGUGGGCCACACUGGUUUCACGGAGGUGGCUUAGAAGGCAUGAUUAAGCCAGAGUGGAAUCCAGUUUGAUGAGGAGCUAAGUUAUAACAGAGGUUCCAAGUGCAGGGUUUGGAGCUGAGGGUAGUUUCUGAAACCAUUUUCCCAAUGAGCAGGGCCUGUGUGUCCAGCCUGUUGGUGCACGUUCUUGCACGCCCCUCCCUGGGGAAGGGAGGCAAAGCUGGUGGUCGUCAGGUGUUAACACUCAGGACGGGGAGUUCUGUGAUCCUGAAGCUGGGCCAUGUGAGGGACAAGGGACCACGCUGGAUGGCUGGCUGCGCCCGGCUGCGCCUGGCUGCAGUGGUGGGAGAACCUGCUUCCAGCCCUCGUCACAUGGUGUGCGUGUCAGCAGCUGUGUGCUGCUCGGGGAGGCCAGGACAGCAACCUGGCAGGCCCUCAAAGUGACAGGCACACGUCAGAGAAGCUGGGUGACCAGACUCCGGAGGGACUGAUGUCAGAGAGGUCAGCGAGCACCCAGGUUGCAACAGGUACUGGGGACCAGUCCCACUGCAGCCUCCAAGGAGCACUGUCUUACUUGGCUCUUGUGAGCAGAGACCACAGUACCUUAAAUUAAGGCCUCUCCUAAAACCUGUCCUUGCAGACCAGCGGGCCUGAGCCACCUGGUCUCGAGAAAUCGUGUGAGAGGAGCAGGCAUUUCCUUACUGUAUUUAUACUCCUCUCUUCCUACUUUCCAACUACUGAGCACCCCCUGGCUACCCCUGUCUUGGGGUGCUUUUUCCUAAAAGAACAGGGGAGCACAGGAGCCAAAGGGAGGUGCCUCCGUUACAGGUGAAGUUGGAUCGGAUAAGAAGAUCUAGCAGUCAUUUCAGUUCUAGGAAUAUGAAGAAUAAAUUCUACGGCCCAGACAGUUGUGAAGGGCUCAGACAGAUAUAUGAGUGACAUUGGCAAAAAUGGGGAACAAAGGCUGCCUCCUGAGCGUAGACCCCAGGGAGGGCUUCACUUUGGCCUAAACUCAACAUUUGCCACGAAGAUUCCAAAGAGAGCAGCCAUUUGGAUUAGCCCUCCUGGAACGUGUACCGGACAAUUAUUAGUGUGUGUGUGGGUGAGUGGGUGCGUGUGUGUGACGUGUUCCCAAGUGACCGUUACGUCAGGCCGACUGCUUAGGUAUCUUGUCUGUAUUUGUGUUUUUCCUUUUUUUGGGUCUCAUUUGGUGGAAUUUUUUAGUCUCCUGUAUUUUCUAAAGGCGCUUGUGUUUCCCCGCCUUCCUCUUUGUCUUCGCAGUGUUUGAACAUUAUUUUUUCCCAUCAAAAAUAUACCAGCUAGAACAAGGGUUAUUUCUGCUAAGCAGCCUCUUCCCCCCGAGAGCUCUCCAGACACUCGGCCUAACAACUGCCCCUUGGAGACUGAAGAGGCAGUUUCCCCAAACCACCCACUUUCCACACAGGCUUGCGAGGCCUUUUCAGUUCUUCUUGACUCCGUGGGCCUCCGCAGCGCUGAGACAGGACGUGGUUGCCGUUGUGGUGUCCCCAGUUCUAGAGGCAAAGGGGAGAAGGUGCACCAGGGCCAACCUAGCCAACGUGUUAGGUCGCUGCUGGGAGAUGGGGUGUCACUGUCACUGCAUAGGCGGGCUGUCCCCAGGACCCCUCAGAAAGCGGCCCCCCCUCCUCUCCAGUGCUCUUCUCAUUUAUCCUAAGAUUCGUGUGUGCGUGUGCGUGUGUGUUCCCUGUGACGUUGGCAGUGACGGUAAUUUUCCACCCAGAGAGAAGCUUGUGGUCCACGAUGCUCCAGGAAUGAAUUUCCAAGUAUUGGCCAUUGGAGGAGCAGAGGCUGUGACAAGAUGGUUUAGUGUUGCACUUUCAGAGCAAUUGUCUACUGCAGUAAUAAAUGGAAAGUACCUGCAA
RNA transcript from Sus scrofa (pig), 6740 nucleotides. It is a transcript of the gene named eukaryotic translation initiation factor 4E family member 2, with no coding region annotated. The record is from RefSeq and is marked provisional. Lineage: Eukaryota; Metazoa; Chordata; Mammalia; Artiodactyla; Suidae.